AGCAGCCGCGGUAAUUCCAGCUCCAAUAGCGUAUAUUAAAGUUGUUGCAGUUAAAAGCUCGUAGUUGAAUUUCGGGGUUAGUAGGUUGGUCAUGCCUCUGGUAUGUACUGGUCUCACUGAUUCCUCCUUCCUGAUGAACCUUAAUGCCAUUAAUUUGGUGUUUUGGGGAAUUUGGACUGUUACUUUGAAAAAAUUAGAGUGUUUAAAGCAAGCUAACGCUUGAAUACAUUAGCAUGGAAUAAUGAAAUAGGACGUUCGAUCCUAUUUUGUUGGUUUCUAGGAUUGACGUAAUGAUUAAUAGGGAUAGUUGGGGGCAUUAGUAUUCAAUUGUCAGAGGUGAAAUUCUUGGAUUUAUUGAAGACUAACUACUGCGAAAGCAUUUGCCAAGGAUGUUUUCAUAAUUCAAGAACGAAAGUUAGGGGAUCGAAGACGAUCAGAUACCGUCGUAGUCUUAACCAUAAACUAUGCCGACUAGGGAUCGGAUGAUGUUAAUUUUUUAAUGACUCAUUCGGCGCCUUAC
This 520-nucleotide ribosomal RNA is filed under the name uncultured Glomus. RNAcentral describes it as "SSU rRNA". It matches the Rfam family "Eukaryotic small subunit ribosomal RNA", at positions 569 to 1091 of the family's 1831-position model. Lineage: Eukaryota; Fungi; Glomeromycota; Glomeromycetes; Glomerales; Glomeraceae. The record is from RNAcentral.